Molecule: ribosomal RNA, 256 nt
Filed under: uncultured bacterium
Lineage: Bacteria
Description: partial 16S ribosomal RNA
Rfam family: Bacterial small subunit ribosomal RNA
Source: RNAcentral
GUCCACGCCGUAAACGAUGGAUACUAGCUGUUGGGGGCAACUUCAGUGGCUAAGCGAAAGUGAUAAGUAUCCCACCUGGGGAGUACGUUCGCAAGAAUGAAACUCAAAGGAAUUGACGGUGGCCCCGCACAAGCGGUGGAGCAUGUGGUUUAAUUCGAUGAUACGCGAGGAACCUUACCAAGGCUUAAAUGUAGAUUGACAGAUUUGGAAACAGAUUUUUCUUCGGACAAUUUACAAGGUGCUGCAUGGUUGUCGU